Molecule: ribosomal RNA, 254 nt
Filed under: uncultured bacterium
Lineage: Bacteria
Description: partial 16S ribosomal RNA
Rfam family: Bacterial small subunit ribosomal RNA
Source: RNAcentral
GACGUAGGGAGCGAGCGUUGUCCGGAUUCAUUGGGCGUAAAGAGCUCGUAGGCGGUGUGUCGCGUCGGCCGUGAAAACCUGGGGCUCAACUCUGGGCGUGCGGUCGAUACGGGCAUCACUGGAGUUCGGCAGGGGAGACUGGAAUUCCUGGUGUAGCGGUGAAAUGCGCAGAUAUCAGGAGGAACACCGGUGGCGAAGGCGGGUCUCUGGGCCGAUACUGACGCUGAGGAGCGAAAGCCAGGGGAGCAAACGGG